UACGUAGGUGGCAAGCGUUGUCCGGAAUUAUUGGGCGUAAAGCGCGCGCAGGUGGUUUCUUAAGUCUGAUGUGAAAGCCCACGGCUCAACCGUGGAGGGUCAUUGGAAACUGGGGAACUUGAGUGCAGGAGAGAAGAGUGGAAUUCCCGGUGUAGCGGUGGAAUGCGUAGAGAUCGGGAAGAAUACCCGUGGCGAAGGCGGCCAGCUGGGCCAGGUCCGACACUGAGGCGCGAAAGCGUGGGAGCAACAGG
Molecule: ribosomal RNA, 251 nt
Filed under: uncultured bacterium
Lineage: Bacteria
Description: partial 16S ribosomal RNA
Rfam family: Bacterial small subunit ribosomal RNA
Source: RNAcentral